UAAAACAUCAAUACAACUUAGCAUGUUAAUCAAUAUGUAUAAUAAAUCAUUUGAUUAUCUGUCUGCAAUGGUCUGCUAUAAUAGACAUCAUUUUGUGCCACUGUGUAAUACACAUCAACAAAACAAUGACAGGAAAUAGUUUAUAAAUCCAUGUUGGCGUGUAAUGGACACCCUUCUACUUUGCUGGGGGUCAUUUGCAUAAACUGCACCGAAACGAAAUGCCAACUUGUCCUUCCAUUUAAUUUUUAACGACUUUCAAUUUCUGUUUAUAUGGCAUUUGUGUAUUCAGAACAACCUAAUAUAUGUGCAUUUGUUGUUGAUUUUAAUUAACUUAAAGACAGAAAUGAAAUAAUUGAUUAAAUAUUGUGAUUAUGAACUAUAAAUGUGCAUAUCCGAUAUAUUGAGG
This 406-nucleotide long non-coding RNA is filed under the name Mytilus galloprovincialis (Mediterranean mussel). Lineage: Eukaryota; Metazoa; Mollusca; Bivalvia; Mytilida; Mytilidae. The record is from RNAcentral.